RNAcentral lists this transfer RNA (76 nucleotides) under Cupriavidus taiwanensis. RNAcentral describes it as "tRNA-Pro". It matches the Rfam family "tRNA". From Rfam's summary of the family: Transfer RNA (tRNA) molecules are approximately 80 nucleotides in length. The record is from RNAcentral. Lineage: Bacteria; Pseudomonadati; Pseudomonadota; Betaproteobacteria; Burkholderiales; Burkholderiaceae.
CUGGGUGUAGCUCAGUUGGUAGAGUCCUCGCUUUGGAAGCGAGAUGCCGCAGGUUCGAGUCCUGCUGCCCAGACCA